AAGCGUAACAAGGUCUCCGUUGGUGAACCAGCGGAGGGAUCAUUACCGAGUUUACAACUCCCAAACCCCUGUGAACAUACCACUUGUUGCCUCGGCGGAUCAGCCCGCUCCCGGUAAAACGGGACGGCCCGCCAGAGGACCCCUAAACUCUGUUUCUAUAUGUAACUUCUGAGUAAAACCAUAAAUAAAUCAAAACUUUCAACAACGGAUCUCUUGGUUCUGGCAUCGAUGAAGAACGCAGCAAAAUGCGAUAAGUAAUGUGAAUUGCAGAAUUCAGUGAAUCAUCGAAUCUUUGAACGCACAUUGCGCCUGCCAGUAUUCUGGCGGGCAUGCCUGUUCGAGCGUCAUUUCAACCCUCAAGCACAGCUUGGUGUUGGGACUCGCGUUAAUUCGCGUUCCCCAAAUUGAUUGGCGGUCACGUCGAGCUUCCAUAGCGUAGUAGUAAAACCCUCGUUACUGGUAAUCGUCGCGGCCACGCCGUUAAACCCCAACUUCUGAAUGUGACCUCGAUC
This 512-nucleotide ribosomal RNA is filed under the name Fusarium oxysporum. Its description in RNAcentral is "eukaryotic LSU rRNA". The stretch from base 194 to 347 matches the Rfam family "5.8S ribosomal RNA". Lineage: Eukaryota; Fungi; Ascomycota; Sordariomycetes; Hypocreales; Nectriaceae. The record is from RNAcentral.